CCCAGCCGCCGCGUAAGGACCAGCAGCCGGGCCCGGCCGGCGGCGGAGGAGACUUCCCAAGUAAGAAGCGGAAGAGGAGCCGCUGGAACCAAGACACAAUGGAACAGAAGACGGUGAUUCCAGGAAUGCCUACAGUUAUUCCCCCUGGACUUACUCGAGAACAAGAAAGAGCUUAUAUAGGUAAAUAUACGUUCUGCAUCCAAAUGCAUUUUGAGAUUGUUACGAUUUAUUCUGAGCAAGAUCUGCAUUUCUUGAAAGUUUGAGAUUGUAGUUUUUUUUUUUUGAGAUGAGAUACUUUCACGACUGGUAUCAUCUGUCAGUUUUUGCCCAGUGAGUUCUGCAUUUGCAACUCCUUGUUUUGGUCUGUUCAUAACUGCAGUGUUCUCCAUGAGUAUCAGGAAGGUAGGGUUUCACUUAGGAGUAAGAACAGUCCCCAGUACAGCAGCCACCCUUUUCAGCUGCUGUUCAUUGCCAGUUGAUGAGGUGAGUGUCAUCUGCCUCUCUGGACAGGCCCCAGUGGAGAACACCGCAGGUACUGUAAACCAAGUACUUUUCACAGCAUGGCCUUUCACCGUAAUUUCAUAUUUCUCCCCCUAAAAUGUGGUCUUUUACUUUUUAUAGGUACUUUCUG
This 631-nucleotide small RNA is filed under the name Pongo abelii (Sumatran orangutan). Its description in RNAcentral is "retained intron". Lineage: Eukaryota; Metazoa; Chordata; Mammalia; Primates; Hominidae. The record is from RNAcentral.